This 117-nucleotide ribosomal RNA is filed under the name Nonomuraea sp. K271. Lineage: Bacteria; Bacillati; Actinomycetota; Actinomycetes; Streptosporangiales; Streptosporangiaceae. RNAcentral also lists the same sequence under 1 other name. The record is from RNAcentral.
UACGGCGGUUAUGGCGGGAAGGAAACACCCGGUUACAUUCCGAACCCGGAAGUUAAGCUUCUCUGCGCCGAUGGUACUGCACCCGGGAGGGUGUGGGAGAGUAGGUCGCCGCCGGAC